CGUGGCUUAGUUUUGCUUUUUAAUCAUAAUUAAUUUGUUUACAAAAAAAAAAUUAACACUAUGUUAAAAAAAAAAUUAUAAAUUUAUAAUGGCGGUCAGCGUGCGACAUUUCUUCGCCGUAGGAUUAGUGAAGCAGGAAUCUGAGUCCGUUAAACGGAGGACGCGCCGUAAUCCUCUCCGCCACCAAGCGCUCCCCGUGAACAGUCAUGCCGCAGCGCACCUUCUUGGCAUGCAGAAAGUUCAGAUCGGCGGCUCGCUCUCCACUUUUGAGCGGCAACCAGCCGUACACCUGCGACUCCAGGAGCGGAACAGCUUUUCCGAGCUGCCUCUGACGCUCCACAUGCUUCUCAGGCCAAGUGUGCCGUAGGUACCUCAAGGUAUCCGUCGGCUGGCGUUGCUCAUACUGGGCGUAGAACUUCCGUGUUAGCGGAUGAACUGGAAGGCAGGAGAAGAUAUUAUUAGCAUUUUAUUUUUACAGGAGCGCUACGAUGCAACAAGCUUGUCCUCAAACAUGAUAUACCGAGCUAACCAGAAAUCUCUAGCAUACCUUGGCUCACUGGAACAAAGGUUUCGUAAAGUCGGAUGUGCCGGUUAGAUCUAUGGAUCAGCUCCUUUUCGAAGUCGUAGGGCAGCGGUCGGGGAUCCCCCUCGCGAUGAUCCAGUGCGUCGCCAUUCUCCUCGACCUCGUCGGUGGUUUCGAGUCCCGGUUUCAUGCUCCUGCACGUCUACUAUUUUGAGCCCCGAAGGAGAGCUCUGUUUACGGAAAUCCAGGCAAUCCGUCCGCAACGCGUGGCGUGCUCGGUUCGUUUGACUGGCUGCGGACUGCGCUGCAUCAAGGACACCUACCCCCCACAAUCCCCUUGCCUGCCGCUCACUGCCUGCCUGGCUGUCUUUUCGUUUUGGCAGCAACUUGUACUCAUUAAAGUUUUCCUAUUGUUGCUGCAUGGCAGGCAACGUUACCAAUACUGUACACGCAUCCCCACGACGCAGCCCACGGGGCCCAAGGAGUUGCUGCUCCCAACUCCCGGGGGUGUCGAUGGCAGUGGUGUGACCCACAAUCACAGUUUCACCAACGUCAGAGGCGCCUGUCGGGCGAAUUUCCCCAGCAGGUGCUGUGGGCUGUCCGCGAUGUAUGCGAUUGGCUCAAGAGAAAGUAAAAGGACGUCAGCCAGUGAUGAGACGGAUCACUGGUUAUAUUCAAGAUUGGAAUUGGUUGAAGUAUAACCAAGUGUACCGAAGGCGAAAGUCAUCGAUUGGUUGGAACUGGAACUUAUCUCGCCUAUUUUAAGGCUAACUACUACAUUGUAAACAAUAGGAGCUUACUAUACCUUCGCAUCACUGCUUCCAGCACCCAAGGGCUGGCUCCAUUCAUGUCGUUGGCGUAAUUUAGUACAAGCCCAAAACCCAAAUCCCUGAAGUAAACAGCAAUAUCCGAAAAUAAACCCAUUCGAGCGAUUGCCUUUGCGUGUCCAAACAAUCGCAGCCACAAAAUUAUCUAGAGGCAGAGGAGCAGGUGGCCACCACAUCCGGCACUUGGCCGCCGCGAUUCUCAACAUUUGCUUCGGGUUGUGCAACUCUCUCGAUUCGUCGUAAAUUUUAGCCUAAUCGAAUCUAAUUGAAUACAUAAAUACGGAAAUAAAUCAAUUUAAUUACAAUACA
Molecule: non-coding RNA, 1659 nt
Organism: Drosophila melanogaster (fruit fly)
Lineage: Eukaryota; Metazoa; Arthropoda; Insecta; Diptera; Drosophilidae
Source: Ensembl